This is an RNA transcript of Serinus canaria (Common canary), 1851 nucleotides long. It is a transcript of the gene named chromosome 10 C15orf61 homolog, with no coding region annotated. The record is from RefSeq and is a predicted model, not a curated record. Lineage: Eukaryota; Metazoa; Chordata; Aves; Passeriformes; Fringillidae. The transcript has 5 exons.
AUGCGGGCGCUGCUGCGGCGGCUGCACGGCGCGGCCGUGGCGCUGCUGCUGUGGCGGGGCCGGGCUCCGUCCCCGGCCCGGCCCGCCGCCUCCGAGGUGCUGAGCCAGCACCUGCGGCAGCGCCGUCUGCCCCACUGGACCUCGUUCUGCGUCAAGUACAGCGCGGUGCACAACGACCAGUUCGGCCUCUCGCACUUCAACUGGCCCGUGGACGGUGCCAACUACCUGGUGCUGCGCACCGGCUGCUUCCCCUUCAUCAAGUACCACUGCUCCCGCGCCGCGCCGCAGGACCUGGCGCUGCAGGACGCCUUCUUCACCGCCCUCAAGGUGCUCAACGCCGGCAUCCCAACUUUACUGUAUGGACUUGGCUCCUGGUUCUUUGCCCGUGUCACAGAGACUGUUCACACCAGCCAUGGCCCAGUCACUAUUUAUUUUCUAAAUAAAGAAGAUGAAGGAGCCAUGUACUGAGCUGAAUGGCUGUCCUCUGUCCAAGGUGGGUUUGCUGUGAAAAAAGAGCUUUAAAAGAUCUGCUUGAGGCCAGUGCAUUUCCCUGUGAACUGAAGCCUGGAAACUGCUGCAGGGAGGAGGCAGGGAUGGUAAAUUGAAUCUGGUGAACCAAGAGCUGGCACAGAGAUCCUGAUUCCUCCAGGUGUGUUUUACACUCAGGGUCUGAAUUACAGGACAUAGCUGGAAAAAUUCUAGUAAUAAUGAGAUUAUUGGAGAGGCUGAGUAGGAUCCAGAACGAAAUCAGCAUUUUCUGCCUCUAUCCUUCCUGUGCCUUCUUUUCUCCAAGGGGAUGAGUGCAGGACUGGAGGAAUUGGGACUCAGUCUUGGUUUUAAUUCACUGCUGGGCAUUUUCACCCAUCCCACUCCUGAGAAUGAGCUCCCGAAGCUGAAUCCACAUCCUGCCACAGCAAUAUUCAGCAGCAGAGCCAGGGGAGGCAGCUCUUGUUUUCCUCCCUCUUCAUUUUACAGAGUUCUGCUGGAGGGACCCCAAACUCCAUUACGGGCUGUUUGUGGCAGAGCAAAAAUAGAAAAUUUCUUCUGCUGGGCAACUUCCUCUGCAGUGGGAAUUAACCAAGUAAUAACUUCUUCCCUUACUUUUGGAGUCAAUUAUCCUGCUCAGCAAAUCCCUGGGAGACAGCAUUUUCCCAUCCUCACAGAGCCUCCUGCGAGAUUAUAACGAUUUUCCUCCUGACUGUGUCAGCACUCUGGAAAUAAAUAUUUCUUUCCUGGCGUGGCCAGCUCGGGAUGCUCCGGGUGCUCUCCGGCGGCGCUGGGAAGCAGCAGAGAGCAGCAGCACACUGCGAGUGGCAGCACCGAGGGAGCCUCUUCCCCCUGGCUGACAAAAUCCGGAAUUUAGAGAACUUGUGGCCUUCAGCAGGCUGUAAUUAAAGCACUGACACCUCGGUCCUCUGCGGAUUUUGGGAGGUGUUCCCUUGGGGGUGAGCAGUCCUUUUGGAGAUGUGGUUACCAAUGUUGUGGGCUCUGCGUUUAGAGGGGGAAAUCAGGCUUUCAUUAUUUAAAUUAUUUUUAAUGAGGAUUCUGGAAUCCUUGUCCUGGGAAUUCGAACUUUUUACAGAUUCUUGGGCUACUCAAAUGCAAAAGUUCAAUAAUAUUUUCUAUUAAAAAAUCAAGGAUUGUGUUCUCACAACACCAAUUUUCCCCCACCGUGAAAGAAAAAUAUAAAAAUUAAUGUUGGUGACAUCUCAUAGCAAAACUCCUGCAGCAUGAUGAAAUAAACAUCAACUAUUUGCUUCAAAUGGUGUAUUUCAAAUGAAAAUUUCUGAUUAAAGUUAGGUUUUAAAUAAGUCUGUGGCAAAACCAAACCUGUAUCAAUAAACACGUGCU